UGUGAGUUGUCCACGAGGAUACAUGCAUAAGUAUGAGAAUAUAUACCCCUUCCUCAGCAAUUAGCACAGAGAAUUGAAUCAAGCAGUACAAAGGUUUUCAGUUUUAGGUUUACCUGAUUACCCUUUACUAUACUCUAAUGUAUCCCAAUACUUCUGUACUCCUAAAUCAACUGACAACCUUUAAGCAUAUGCUCUUUUGCUAGGUCUUGAAGAGGAGGCACAACUGCCUUCAUAUGAGUCCAGUGUGUGUUGUCAAAAUGUAACUUUUGAAUUGUUCUAAAGCCACAGUAAGAGAAGUAAGUGGUUCAAGUUUCGUACCUCUACAUUUCCACCAUUGUGCUUUCCUCUCCCUUUACCCCACAUACAAAACUGAGCCAGGCAAUGCCUAGUUUUUGUGUGCUGAACACAGCUGUACUUACAUCCACCAUCCUCUGGACGUGUUUGCUAAUGGUUUUUGGAUCAGGUUUGGGAGACACUCCAGAAGCCCAGUCCACUACUACUGGUGGCUUUGAAGGUGUUAGUGGCUAAAAUGAAAUAUUUAGAGAAAUCCUCAUGACUACAAUGCAAUAUUAUAACCUAUAGCUCUUUCUUUUCCUACUACCUGACGGUUACAUUUAUGGACAAUCUUCAAUUAUGUUCAGUGGCAAGGAGCAGAGAACCCACAGGCAAUUGAAAUCUCUACUAAUAAUUUUGGCUAACAAGGCAUCGUGCUUACGGUUUCCAGAGUGCUCUUCACAUACAUUAUCUGCAGCUACAGAUAAUUUGAAAUUCUCAAUCUGCCUGAGUUGCAAUUCCCUCUCCAUUAAACCUUUUGUCAGAGCUAUCAACAAAGAGUAAAGUGGAUCAUUUAUGUUUCCUCUCUAUUCUCCAGUCACAUUUUGCAGUAGAAAGAAAGGUGAGUAAGAAAAAGCUUAGCUAAAAGGCAGGAAGGCACAAGAAAAAUCAUCGGAAGCCUGGACAAGCUCUUUUCUAAAUACAGUCAUGCAUCACUUAAUGACUGGGAUAUGUUCUGAGAAAUGUGUCAUGAGGUGAUUUUGUCAUUGUGUGAGCACCACAGUGUGUACUUACACAAACCUAGAUGGUAUAGCCUGCUACACACCUAGGCUAUUUGGUAUAGCCUACUGCUCCUAGGCUACAUACCUAUACAGCAGGUUAUUAUACUCAGUACUGUAGGCAAUUGUAAUAAUGGUAUUUGUGUAUCUUAACAUAUCUAAACAUAGAAAAGGUAAAAAUAUGGUAUAGAAAAUUUUUUUUAAUGUUACACCUGUAUAGGGCACUUAACCAUGAAUAGAGCUUUCAAGAUUAGAAAUUACUGUGGCAAGUCGUGAGUGGUGAGUGAACGUGGAGGCCUAACAUUACUGUAUACUCCUAUAUACUUUAUAAACACUGUACACUUAGACUACACUAAGUUUCUUAAAUUUUUUCUUCAAUGAUAAAUUACCUUAUUUUACUGUAAAAGCUUUUAAUUUUUUUAACUUUUACUCUUUUGUUAUGACACUUAGCUUAAAGCACACAUUGUAUAGCUUAUAGCUGUACCAGUUAUUUCCUUUACAGCCAUAUUCUAUAAACUUUUUUCUAUUUUAAAAAUGUUUAAUUUUUUAAAUCUUUGUUAUAAACUAAGGUACAAUUACACUCAUUGGCCUAUGUCUAUAUAGAGUCAAGAUCAUCAAUAUCACUGUCUUCCACUCCACAUCUUGUCCUAUUGGAAGGUCUUUAGGGGCAAUAACAUGCAUGGAGCUGUCACCUUCUGGAGGACUUGCCUGAGGCUGUUUUACAGUUAACUUUUCUAAGUAGAAGGAAUGCACUCUAAAAUAAUGAUAAAAAGUAUUGUAUAGUAAGUGCAUAAACCGGUAAUACUUAUUAUCAAGUAUUAUGUACUGUACGUAAGUGUAUAACCGAGACUUUUUACAGCUCAGUAGGUUUGUUUACACCAGUAUAAUCACAGACAUAGUGAGUAAUGUGUUGUGCUACAAUGUUACAAUUGUUCUGUCACUAGGCAAUAGUAAUUUUUCUGCUCCAUUAUAAUCUUAAGGGACCACUGUGAUAUAUGAGGUCUAUCACUGACCAAAAUGUCAUUUUGUGGUGCAUGACUGUAUUUGAAACUCGGCCCAAAUUAAAAUCUCUCUGAAAAAA
RNAcentral lists this non-coding RNA (2133 nucleotides) under Pan troglodytes (chimpanzee). The record is from RNAcentral. Lineage: Eukaryota; Metazoa; Chordata; Mammalia; Primates; Hominidae.